GGGCCUGUAGCUCAAUUGGUUAGAGCCGGCCGCUCAUAACGGUCUGGUUGCAGGUUCGAGUCCUGCCGGGCCCA
Oceanibacterium hippocampi is the source of this 74-nucleotide transfer RNA. It matches the Rfam family "tRNA". Rfam says of the family: Transfer RNA (tRNA) molecules are approximately 80 nucleotides in length. Their secondary structure includes four short double-helical elements and three loops (D, anti-codon, and T loops). The record is from Rfam. Lineage: Bacteria; Pseudomonadati; Pseudomonadota; Alphaproteobacteria; Sneathiellales; Sneathiellaceae.